Long non-coding RNA from Myodes glareolus (Bank vole), 1172 nucleotides. RefSeq lists it as uncharacterized. The record is from RefSeq and is a predicted model, not a curated record. Lineage: Eukaryota; Metazoa; Chordata; Mammalia; Rodentia; Cricetidae.
AGGCCCUUCCUCCUCAGCCUGUACAGUCAUCACCGCUCUAUGCUGACCAGCUCUGAACAGUUCCUGGCAGCUUCCCUGCGGGACAGCUUCCCUGGUUGAUGCCCGUCGCUGGCCUAGCCGACUUUGGCUAGAGGGAGAGCAGCCUGGCCUCUGGAGAUGUGGUCCUGAGUCUGAGAGCCUGCCUAGCCUUGGGCCCCGCAGGAGAGCUUCCCCCCCCCAAAUAGCUCCACGUUCCUCUGCACCAGGAAAUGAUGUAUGUGAUACCUGGAAGAAAGGCGGCACCGCGAACUUGCAGCUAAGAUGCUCGCCUUCCACCUCUAUAUGUGAGACACGUGCACACAGCACCCACGGAGGGCAGAGGAGGAUGCUGGAUGCCCUGCAUCUGGAAGAUUGGGUGAUGGUGAGCUGCCUGGAGAGUGCUGGGAACUGAACCCCAGUUCUGGAUUUCUUGGAAGAGCUAGAAAUUCAGCAGCAGAGAACCCAUACCCUGCUUGGUGUCUGGCUGCAUGGAACUCUGGACCCUCUGGAACCUCUAGAUUCUCUGGACCCUCUGGACUCUCUGGACCCUCUGGACCCUCUGGACCCUCUGGACCCUCUGGAACCUCUGGAACCUCUGGACCCUUUGCACCUGCUUCACUGGGUGUGGGGCUCUCUUCCACACUCAUACUCAGUCCCAUAUUAUUUGGAUUUGCUGGUUUUCUUCUAGGCCACAUCCAUCAUUCAACCUUGGAGAGUGCACUCUAACCUGACACAGUGACCAUUUAGCAGAGCAGGGAAUGGCAGGAGCACAUUUACCCCUAUAGUUGGAUUCUCCUUGGCCCUACAAAACAUAAGAUAUGAUUGGUACCCAAAAACUGACCAGUGCAUCAGCCACACACAUACUAUGCUCUGUGUGUACCUGUGGUAUACAAAAUCUCUACAAAAAAAAAAAAACAACCCUUGAAAAUAAAGGGAAAAAAACAAAAGCAUUCGUUCCUUUCAACAUAGAUGUUCACAUUUGCAUUUUCUUAGGAUUUAUUUGGGUAAAGAUUCUGAAAGCCCCUUUCUGAGAUUCAGAUGAGGAAGAGAAAUCCUUCUCUUAGUUUGCAAAUAGGGAGAAAUGGAUUAACCACUUGAGAUAUAAAGUCAGGUGAUAUUGCCUUGGCUCGGCAGGAAUCCACCAAGAAAGGAAA